CUUCCGAAAAGGCUGCAUCGGGCCGUGGAUGACCUGCCGCGAGUUCCUUCUGCACAAAGGGUCCCUGGCAAAAUGAGGGCCAGAGCAAGCAGCACCCCGGCAAAUCUGGCAGGAAUCAUCUUCCCCUGCAAAUGAGGGCUGCGGCUAUCUCCAAGGUCCCUGGGAAACUCAGCUGCUGGACAAUGGUGCCGCCCACCCUAGGCCAUGCUCUCAGCUGCUGCAAAGGCUCAAUCAGGUCUGCUACAGCUCCGGACUGUCUUGCUGUUAUGUAGCCCAGGGGCUGUGGAGUCCCCACUGCUGGGGGAGAUAAAGCCCAAGCUGUGACAUCCACCAACCACCCUCCCUU
Molecule: long non-coding RNA, 346 nt
Filed under: Homo sapiens (human)
Lineage: Eukaryota; Metazoa; Chordata; Mammalia; Primates; Hominidae
Description: LNC_000792
Source: RNAcentral